UUCAAUAAGAAUGCAGCUGUGAUUUACAUUUGUUCCCUGACUGUGAUCCUUCUUUGUUUUCUUCUUUUGUUAAUAGAAGGUUGAUUUCCCAAUGAGCCACUCCAGAUGCACUCUUGGCCUUAAACCGGGAUUCUCCAAGUGUGCUAAACCGGCAGCAUCAGAAUCACCCAGGAGCUGCUUGGUCAGUGGUGAUCAUGUCCCUCUCUUAGAGAGCUUCAGUGAGUGGCUCAAGGACAUACUUAGUUGAAACUUUGGACAGUUAACAGAAUUUAAAUAUGUCUUCUAAGCUUGACCUUCCUUUGUGGCCCUCUGUGGACUGGCCAAUGGACUUUUGAAGGAGAAAGACGAAUUGGCCAAAGCCUCUUAAUUUGAGGCUGGACCAAUGGAAGGGCUGUGGAGGAUGAAUAUAAAAUGAUAUUCCUGGGGCGCCUGGGUGGCUCAGUCGGUUAAGUGUCCAGCUUUGGCUCAGGUCA
Molecule: long non-coding RNA, 473 nt
Organism: Suricata suricatta (meerkat)
Lineage: Eukaryota; Metazoa; Chordata; Mammalia; Carnivora; Herpestidae
Exons: 3
Source: RefSeq, a predicted model, not a curated record